UGGGGGAUAUUGCACAAUGGGCGAAAGCCUGAUGCAGCAACGCCGCGUGAGGGAAGACGGUUUUCGGAUUGUAAACCUCUGUCUUCGGUGAAGAAACAAAUGACGGUAGCCGAGGAGGAAGCCACGGCUAACUACGUGCCAGCAGCCGCGGUAAUAAGUAGGUGGCAAGCGUUGUCCGGAAUUACUGGGUGUAAAGGGAGCGCAGGCGGGGAGACAAGUCAGCUGUUAAAACUAUGGGCUUAACCCAUAAACUGCAGUUGAAACUGUUUUUCUUGAGUGGAGUAGAGGUAGGCGGAAUGCCGAGUGUAGCGGUGAAAUGCGUAGAUAUUCGGAGGAACACCAGUGGCGAAGGCGGCCUACUGGGCUCUAACUGACGCUGAGGCUCGAAAGUGUGGGGAGCAAACA
RNAcentral lists this ribosomal RNA (405 nucleotides) under uncultured prokaryote. RNAcentral describes it as "bacterial SSU rRNA". It matches the Rfam family "Bacterial small subunit ribosomal RNA", at positions 355 to 774 of the family's 1533-position model. The record is from RNAcentral.